UUACCAGCUUUUGACAUGUCCGGUUUGAUCGGCAGAGAUGCCUUUCUUCAGUUCGGCUGGCCGGAACACAGGUGCUGCAUGGCUGUCGUCAGCUCGUGUCGUGAGAUGUUGGGUUAAGUCCCGCAACGAGCGCAACCCUCGCCCCUAGUUGCCAUCAUUCAGUUGGGAACUCUAGGGGGACUGCCGGUGAUAAGCCGCGAGGAAGGUGGGGAUGACGUCAAGUCCUCAUGGCCCUUACAGGCUGGGCUACACACGUGCUACAAUGGCGGUGACAAUGGGCAGCGAAGGAGCGAUCCGGUGCUAAUCCCAAAAAGCCGUCUCAGUUCAGAUUGCACUCUGCAACUCGAGUGCAUGAAGGUGGAAUCGCUAGUAAUCGUGGAUCAGCAUGCCACGGUGAAUACGUUCCCGGGCCUUGUACACACCGCCCGUCACACCAUGGGAGUUGGGUUUACCCGAAGGCGUCGCGCUAACCGCAAGGAGGCAGGCGACCACGGUAGGCUCAGCGACUGGGGUGAAGUCGUAACAAGGUAACCGUA
This 536-nucleotide ribosomal RNA is filed under the name uncultured bacterium. RNAcentral describes it as "bacterial SSU rRNA". It matches the Rfam family "Bacterial small subunit ribosomal RNA", at positions 971 to 1504 of the family's 1533-position model. The record is from RNAcentral.